AUCGUCUGGGUCGACACACCAGUCCUACACGCCAUCCCAUCUCUCCGGAGAGGGGCCGCUCGAGUCGAGAGAAUGCGGUCGGUCCCGUCGACGACCACGAACCCAUGCAGGUGGGUAGAGCUCGGCUGUCCCAAGGACUAUGCUUGUACUGUGGAGGCUCAGGACAUACCAUCUAUUCCUGCCCGGUAAAAGAGCCAGCCCGGUAGUAAGGAUGAGGCUACUCUCGGGUGGGAUCUCCGCUGGGAAGUCCUCAACAACAUCCUCGACUCUCCUUCCGGUGAAACUGCGGUGGGGGAAUCACACACACGACUGUCACGACCUUCUGGACUCCAUAGCCGAAGGUCAAUGCACUCAAUGGCCAGGAACUGCCUCACGUCACCCAUUACACUGAACCCAUCACUCUGCUCACUUCAGGCAAUCAUUGCGAAACCAUAUCCUUUUUCCUCAUGGACUCCCCUGUAGCUCCCAUUGUCUUAGGUCACCCCUGGUUAAUGAAACAUAAUCCACGAGUGGAUUGGGGUUCCAACACUGUCACAUUGUGGAGUGAAAGUUGUCAUGAGUCUUGUCUGGUUUCUGCUUGUCCUGUUGUCCCUGUCUCUGUUUUGCAGAGAGAGAACAUGGUAUUAUCAAACGUGCCCGAAGAGUACCUGGACCUGAAGGAAGUGUUCAGUAAGUCCCGUGCUGCUUCUCUGCCUCCGCAUCGUCCCUACGACUGUGCCAUAGACUUAGUGCCAGAGAAGUCUCCGCCUAAAGGCAAGUUAUACUCUCUUUCUAUUCCAGAGAGGGAGGCCAUGGAGAAAUACAUUUCUGAUUCCUUGGCCUCUGGGUUCAUCCGCCCUUCCUCUUCUCCAGCGGGGGCGGGGUUCUUUUUUGUGGCAUCACCACUUACCUUCGGCUCGAUUCCCCGCAGUUCCUGUGCCAUCCUCUCCUGCUGCCAACUCACCAUCACCAUCUGGAUUACUCACCGUCUCCCACCAUCUUGGAUUGUCGUCUUCCCAGCGUUGUUUGUAUUCUUGUUUGUUUUGUUUGGUUCUCAUUAAACUGUUUCAUACUCGCACUUGUUUCCAGCUUCUCCUUCACCCAGUCGUCACA
Long non-coding RNA from Cyprinus carpio carpio, 1092 nucleotides. The record is from Ensembl. NCBI's taxonomy places the organism in Eukaryota, Metazoa, Chordata, Actinopteri, Cypriniformes, Cyprinidae.